AUUAGACGAAUCAUCUGGAAAGAUGAAUCAAAGAAGGUAAUAAUCCUGUAGUCGAAAAUGUUGUCUCUCUUGAGUGGAUCCUGAGUACGACGGAGCACGUGAAAUUCCGUCGGAAUCUGGGAGGACCAUCUCCUAAGGCUAAAUACUCUCUAGUGACCGAUAGUGAACCAGUACCGUGAGGGAAAGGUGAAAAGCACCCCGGAAGGGGAGUGAAAUAGAACCUGAAACCGUGUGCUUACAAGUAGUCAGAGCCCGUUAAUGGGUGAUGGCGUGCCUUUUGUAGAAUGAACCGGCGAGUUACGAUUUGAUGCAAGGUUAAGCAGUAAAUGUGGAGCCGUAGCGAAAGCGAGUCUGAAUAGGGCGUUUAGUAUUUGGUCGUAGACCCGAAACCAGGUGAUCUACCCUUGGUCAGGUUGAAGUUCAGGUAACACUGAAUGGAGGACCGAACCGACUUACGUUGAAAAGUGAGCGGAUGAACUGAGGGUAGCGGAGAAAUUCCAAUCGAACCUGGAGAUAGCUGGUUCUCUCCGAAAUAGCUUUAGGGCUAGCCUCAAGUGAUGAUUAUUGGAGGUAGAGCACUGUUUGGACGAGGGGCCCCUCUCGGGUUACCGAAUUCAGACAAACUCCGAAUGCCAAUUAAUUUAACUUGGGAGUCAGAACAUGGGUGAUAAGGUCCGUGUUCGAAAGGGAAACAGCCCAGACCACCAGCUAAGGUCCCAAAAUAUAUGUUAAGUGGAAAAGGAUGUGGCGUUGCCCAGACAACUAGGAUGUUGGCUUAGAAGCAGCCAUCAUUUAAAGAGUGCGUAAUAGCUCACUAGUCGAGUGACACUGCGCCGAAAAUGUACCGGGGCUAAACAUAUUACCGAAGCUGUGGAUUGUCCUUUGGACAAUGGUAGGAGAGCGUUCUAAGGGCGUUGAAGCAUGAUCGUAAGGACAUGUGGAGCGCUUAGAAGUGAGAAUGCCGGUGUGAGUAGCGAAAGACGGGUGAGAAUCCCGUCCACCGAUUGACUAAGGUUUCCAGAGGAAGGCUCGUCCGCUCUGGGUUAGUCGGGUCCUAAGCUGAGGCCGACAGGCGUAGGCGAUGGAUAACAGGUUGAUAUUCCUGUACCACCUAUAAUCGUUUUAAUCGAUGGGGGGACGCAGUAGGAUAGGCGAAGCGUGCGAUUGGAUUGCACGUCUAAGCAGUAAGGCUGAGUAUUAGGCAAAUCCGGUACUCGUUAAGGCUGAGCUGUGAUGGGGAGAAGACAUUGUGUCUUCGAGUC
Molecule: ribosomal RNA, 1262 nt
Filed under: Staphylococcus aureus
Lineage: Bacteria; Bacillati; Bacillota; Bacilli; Caryophanales; Staphylococcaceae
Description: partial 23S ribosomal RNA
Rfam family: Bacterial large subunit ribosomal RNA
Source: RNAcentral